RNAcentral lists this ribosomal RNA (520 nucleotides) under uncultured Glomus. RNAcentral describes it as "SSU rRNA". It matches the Rfam family "Eukaryotic small subunit ribosomal RNA", at positions 569 to 1090 of the family's 1831-position model. Lineage: Eukaryota; Fungi; Glomeromycota; Glomeromycetes; Glomerales; Glomeraceae. The record is from RNAcentral.
AGCAGCCGCGGUAAUUCCAGCUUCAAUAGCGUAUAUUAAAGUUGUUGCAGUUAAAAAGCUCGUAGUUGAAUUUCGGGGUUAGUAGGUUGGUCAUGCCUCUGGUAUGUACUGGUCUCACUGAUUCCUCCUUCCUGAUGAACCUUAAUGCCAUUUAUUUGGUGUUUUGGGGAAUUUGGACUGUUACUUUGAAAAAAUUAGAGUGUUUAAAGCAAGCUAACGCUUGAAUACAUUAGCAUGGAAUAAUGAAAUAGGACGUUCGAUCCUAUUUUGUUGGUUUCUAGGAUUGACGUAAUGAUUAAUAGGGAUAGUUGGGGGCAUUAGUAUUCAAUUGUCAGAGGUGAAAUUCUUGGAUUUAUUGAAGACUAACUACUGCGAAAGCAUUUGCCAAGGAUGUUUUCAUUAAUCAAGAACGAAAGUUAGGGGAUCGAAGACGAUCAGAUACCGUCGUAGUCUUAACCAUAAACUAUGCCGACUAGGGAUCGGAUGAUGUUAAUUUUUAAUGUACUCAUUCGGCGCCUUA